RNAcentral lists this long non-coding RNA (280 nucleotides) under Elaeis guineensis (African oil palm). Its description in RNAcentral is "long non-coding RNA (EGUI_LNC038402)". Lineage: Eukaryota; Viridiplantae; Streptophyta; Magnoliopsida; Arecales; Arecaceae. The record is from RNAcentral.
UCCCAAAUUUUUUUAGUAGAAUUGUAUGUAGAAAUAUGAUUAAAUUUAUUUGCAUCUAAAGCACAAUAUAAAAUAUCCAUGGCUUUAGCAUUGAGCUGAGCCAUUUUCUUAUCAAAUUCAUCCCAUUCACCUUCUGGCUUAGGGAGAGAUACACCAUCAAUCAAUUUAGUGGGUGUGUGUGGUCCAUUUACUAUGAUACUCUAUGUAUCAUAGUCAAGUGCUUGAAUAAAAAUUCUCAUUCGAGCUUUUCAAUAGGUGUAGUUUGAUCCAUUGAAAAGUG